UUAUGUUACACUCAGGKCAGCGCGCUAACGCUGGACUGUUACGUGCGGAUGACAGGAGCUUGCUCCUGAAUUCAGCGGCGGACGGGUGAGUAAUGCCUAGGAAUCUGCCUGGUAGUGGGGGACAACGUUUCGAAAGGAACGCUAAUACCGCAUACGUCCUACGGGAGAAAGCAGGGGACCUUCGGGCCUUGCGCUAUCAGAUGAGCCUAGGUCGGAUUAGCUAGUUGGUGAGGUAAUGGCUCACCAAGGCGACGAUCCGUAACUGGUCUGAGAGGAUGAUCAGUCACACUGGAACUGAGACACGGUCCAGACUCCUACGGGAGGCAGCAGUGGGGAAUAUUGGACAAUGGGCGAAAGCCUGAUCCAGCCAUGCCGCGUGUGUGAAGAAGGUCUUCGGAUUGUAAAGCACUUUAAGUUGGGAGGAAGGGCAUUAACCUAAUACGUUAGUGUUUUGACGUUACCGACAGAAUAAGCACCGGCUAACUCUGUGCCAGCAGCCGCGGUAAUACAGAGGGUGCAAG
Molecule: ribosomal RNA, 521 nt
Filed under: bacterium A1-2001
Lineage: Bacteria
Description: bacterial SSU rRNA
Rfam family: Bacterial small subunit ribosomal RNA
Source: RNAcentral